Molecule: ribosomal RNA, 495 nt
Filed under: uncultured bacterium
Lineage: Bacteria
Description: bacterial SSU rRNA
Rfam family: Bacterial small subunit ribosomal RNA
Source: RNAcentral
AGAGUUUGAUCAUGGCUCAGAUUGAACGCUGGCGGUAGGCUUAACACAUGCAAGUCGUGCGAGAAAGUAUCUUCGGAUAUGAGUAGAGCGGCGGACGGGUGAGUAACGCGUAGGAAUCUACCUAGUAGAAGGGGAUAGCCCGGGGAAACUCGGAUUAAUACCGUAUACCUCCUUCGGGAGAAAGAAGGCCUCUCUUUGAAGCUUUCGCUAUUAGAUGAGCCUGCGUAAGAUUAGCUUGUUGGUGAGGUAAAGGCUCACCAAGGCAACGAUCUUUAGCGGGUCUGAGAGGACGAUCCGCCACAUUGGGACUGAGACACGGCCCAGACUCCUACGGGAGGCAGCAGUGGGGAAUAUUGGACAAUGGGCGCAAGCCUGAUCCAANCAUACCGCGUGUGUGAAGAAGGCCCUAGGGUUGUAAAGCACUUUAAGUUGGGAAGAAAAGUUAUUGGUUAAUACCCAAUAACCGUGACGUUACCUCAGAAUAAGGACCGGUAU